GGUGGAUGUGUCUGGCAUUCAAGGGCCAUGGCGAGCAGCAAGCAGACGACAGCUUGGUACAACCGUGUCAGUACAGUCAUCCUGGUGAUGUUUGAAUUCAUGUGUGUCGAGAAUGAAAGCGGGGAUUGUCGACACAUAUUGUAAAUGCAGUUGUUAAGGUUUGUACACCUCCGUGCUGCUGUGCUCUGUCACCUAUAAACAACCAUUGGACCAACCAACGGGACACAAGACCCACCACUGACCGUGUUCUGGGAUGACAUGGGCAACCACACAAUAGAAUGUGCCAGUGCCAUGUACAAGACUUCAGAUAGUACCAGACAAUCGGCAACUAGAGGGCAGCAGUUGUACCCACCCACAACAGACCAGAUUGUUUCAGUUCUUUCGACUGCUUCGAUAUUUUUUAUGUGUUUACGCCGAUGAAGGUCCACAUUGACACUACAUUAUGAGUCAGACACAUGUUCUCAAGAUCGCUCUGACUGCUUUUUUCAAAUAACUAGGUAAAGCUUAGUACAACAUACUUAAUCCUAAAAUCGUACUACAUUCCUUUCAUUUUAUAUAUAUACCGAUAUAUUUAUUUUUAUAUAUGAAUACCCAUGGAAAAAGAGC
This is a long non-coding RNA of Pomacea canaliculata, 606 nucleotides long. RefSeq lists it as uncharacterized. The record is from RefSeq and is a predicted model, not a curated record. Lineage: Eukaryota; Metazoa; Mollusca; Gastropoda; Architaenioglossa; Ampullariidae. The transcript is spliced from 3 exons.